CACUGAGUCCUACAUAUGUAGUUACUACAACUGAAGCUGUAUGUUCUGCUACAUAAAAUGAUGCAUUUGCAUUUAACUCUUUUUAUUCUGACAACAAACUGGCUUUCGACUACAUGUUUAGAGCUCAUACAGGUCCAUCAGGACCUAGAGGACCUGGUUCUUUCAAAAGGAUCAUCACUAAAGGUCUCCUGUGCCAUAAGUGGUACUAAUGACCCAUAUCUUUACUGGUACCGCUGGACUCCUGCAGAAGGGUUUACACUGGUAUUCUACUCUAUAAGUGCUGGUUCAGUGAAUCCAUCCAGUGAGGGUCAGUUUAAAUCUCGUAGACCUGAUAAGCUUCAUAUUGUUCUGGAGUCUGAAGGACUGAAUGAGAUCGGCUCUGCAGUGUGGUAUUGUGCAGCCAGUCCCCACAGCAUCCCAGUGUCAUCACAGAGCUGUACAAAAACCACAACUGUUCAUUAGGACUAGGACUACUGUCUGAGGCCACAUGACCUUGA
Molecule: non-coding RNA, 497 nt
Organism: Ictalurus punctatus (channel catfish)
Lineage: Eukaryota; Metazoa; Chordata; Actinopteri; Siluriformes; Ictaluridae
Source: the annotation of a RefSeq genome assembly